Molecule: ribosomal RNA, 644 nt
Filed under: uncultured bacterium
Lineage: Bacteria
Description: bacterial SSU rRNA
Rfam family: Bacterial small subunit ribosomal RNA
Source: RNAcentral
AAAGGAGGCGACUCCGGAGACGGAUGGGCAUGCGUGACAUUAGCUUGUUGGCGGGGUAACGGCCCACCAAGGCGACGAUGUCUAGGGGUUCUGAGAGGAAGGUCCCCCACACUGGUACUGAGACACGGACCAGACUCCUACGGGAGGCAGCAGUGAGGAAUAUUGGUCAAUGGGCGAGAGCCUGAACCAGCCAAGUCGCGUGAAGGAUGACGGCCCUACGGGUUGUAAACUUCUUUUGUCAGGGAGCAAUUGGGUCCACGUGUGGGCUUAGCGAGAGUACCUGAAGAAAAAGCAUCGGCUAACUCCGUGCCAGCAGCCGCGGUAAUACGGAGGAUGCGAGCGUUAUCCGGAUUUAUUGGGUUUAAAGGGUGCGUAGGCGGAAUAUCAAGUCAGCGGUAAAAAUUCGGGGCUCAACCCCGUCGUGCCGUUGAAACUGAUGUUCUUGAGUGGGCGAGAAGUAUGCGGAAUGCGUGGUGUAGCGGUGAAAUGCAUAGAUAUCACGCAGAACUCCGAUUGCGAAGGCAGCAUACCGGCGCCCAACUGACGCUGAAGCACGAAAGCGUGGGUAUCGAACAGGAUUAGAUACCCUGGUAGUCCACGCAGUAAACGAUGAAUGCUAAUUGUCCGGAGGGAUUGACCUCUGG